UACGUAGGGUGCAAGCGUUAAUCGGAAUUACUGGGCGUAAAGCGUGCGUAGGCGGUUCGGAAAGAAGGAUGUGAAAUCCCAGGGCUCAACCUUGGAAUGGCAUUCUUAACUCCCGGGCUAGAGUGUGUCAGAGGGGGGUGGAAUUCCGCGUGUAGCAGUGAAAUGCGUAGAGAUGCGGAGGAACACCGAUGGCGAAGGCAGCCCCCUGGGAUAACACUGACGCUCAGGCACGAAAGCGUGGGGAGCAAACAGGAUUAGAUACCCUGGUAGUCCACGCCCUAAACGAUGUCAACUAGCUGUUGGGUUCUUCGGAGCUUAGUAGCGCAGCUAACGCGUGAAGUUGACCGCCUGGGGAGUACGGUCGCAAGAUUAAA
RNAcentral lists this ribosomal RNA (374 nucleotides) under uncultured bacterium. RNAcentral describes it as "bacterial SSU rRNA". It matches the Rfam family "Bacterial small subunit ribosomal RNA", at positions 524 to 898 of the family's 1533-position model. The record is from RNAcentral.